This 407-nucleotide ribosomal RNA is filed under the name uncultured bacterium. Its description in RNAcentral is "partial 16S ribosomal RNA". It matches the Rfam family "Bacterial small subunit ribosomal RNA", at positions 30 to 526 of the family's 1533-position model. The record is from RNAcentral.
AUUGAACGCUGGCGGCAGGCCUAACACAUGCAAGUCGAGCGGAGCGGCGGACGGGUGAGUAAUGCCUAGGAACCUGCCUGGUAGUGGGGGUUAACGUCCGGAAACGGGCGAUAAUACCGCUUACUAUCAGAUGAGCCUAGGUCGGAUUAGCUAGUUGGUGGGGUAAAGGCCUUCCAGGGCGACGAUCGGUAACUGGUCUUAGAGGAUGGUCAGUCACAUUGGAACUGAGAAACGGUCCAUGCUCCUCCGGGAGGCAGCAGUGGGGAAUAUUGGAAAAUGGGCGAAAGCCUGAUCCAGCCAUGCCGCGUGUGUGAAGAAGGUCUUCGGAUUGUAAAGCACUUUAAGUUGGGAGGCGUUACCAGCAGAAUAAGCACCGGCUAACUUCGUGCCAGCAGCCGCGGUAAUUC